GUCGAACGCUGGCGGCGGGCUUAACACAUGCAAGUCGAACGGUAAGGGCCUGCUUUUGUGGGGUGCUCGAGUGGCGAACGGGUGGGUAACACGUGAGUAACCUGCCGUUGACUUGGGGAGAACUACUGGAAAAUAGGGCUAAUACCGGCGAGGAGCGCCGGCUGCACGGUGGGGGUGGGAAAGGUUCGGCGGUUGGGGGUGGACUCGCGGCUGAUCAGCUUGUUGGUGGGGUAGUGGCUUACCAAGGCUUUGACGGGUAGCCGGCCUGAGAGGGUGACCGGCCACAUUGGGACUGAGAUACGGCCCAGACUCCUACGGGAGGCAGCAGUGGGGAAUAUUGCACAAUGGGCGGAAGCCUGAUGCAGCAACGCCGCGUGCGGGAUGACGGCCUUCGGGUUGUAAACCGCUUUCGCCUGUGACGAAGCGUGAGUGACGGUAAUGGGUAAAGAAGCACCGGCUAACUACGUG
Molecule: ribosomal RNA, 468 nt
Filed under: uncultured bacterium
Lineage: Bacteria
Description: partial 16S ribosomal RNA
Rfam family: Bacterial small subunit ribosomal RNA
Source: RNAcentral